UCUCCGUUGGUGAACCAGCGGAGGGAUCAUUACCGAGUUAUUAUACUCCCAAACCCCUGUGAGCUUAUACCUUUACUGUUGCUUCGGCGGGUGAACGCCCCGGAAGGCCCGCGAGGGCCGCCGGAACCAAGCGGCCGCCGGGGGACCCCAACUCUUGUAUCUUUUUUAGCGCAUGUCUGAGUGGAAUCAUAAACAAAUGAAUCAAAACUUUCAACAACGGAUCUCUUGGUUCUG
Molecule: unclassified non-coding RNA, 234 nt
Filed under: plant metagenome
Description: partial contains small subunit ribosomal RNA, internal transcribed spacer 1, and 5.8S ribosomal RNA
Source: RNAcentral